CCCUUAGAUGUUCUGGGCCGCACGCGCGCUACACUGACGAAUGCAACGAGCUUAUAACCUUGGCCGAAAGGUCUGGGUAAUCUCCAAAUUUCGUCGUGAUGGGGAUAGAUUAUUGCAAUUAUUAAUCUUCAACGAGGAAUGCCUAGUAAGCGCAGGUCAUCAGCUUGCGUUGAUUACGUCCCUGCCCUUUGUACACACCGCCCGUCGCUCCUACCGAUUGAAUGGUCCGGUGAAGCGUUCGGACCGUGGCCUUUGGACGGUUCGCCGUCUGUUGGCUGCGGGAAGUUCGUUAAACCUUAUCAUUUAGAGGAAGGAGAANUCGUANCA
Molecule: ribosomal RNA, 327 nt
Filed under: uncultured eukaryote
Lineage: Eukaryota
Description: partial 18S ribosomal RNA
Rfam family: Eukaryotic small subunit ribosomal RNA
Source: RNAcentral